This 454-nucleotide ribosomal RNA is filed under the name uncultured organism. RNAcentral's name for it is "partial 16S ribosomal RNA". It matches the Rfam family "Bacterial small subunit ribosomal RNA", at positions 331 to 801 of the family's 1533-position model. The record is from RNAcentral.
GUACACUCCUGCGGGAGGCAGCAGUGGGGAAUAUUGGACAAUGGGCGCAAGCCUGAUCCAGCCAUGCCGCGUGAGUGAUGAAGGCCCUAGGGUUGUAAAGCUCUUUCACCGGUGAAGAUAAUGACGGUAACCGGAGAAGAAGCCCCGGCUAACUUCGUGCCAGCAGCCGCGGUAAUACGAAGGGGGCUAGCGUUGUUCGGAUUUACUGGGCGUAAAGCGCACGUAGGCGGACUAUUAAGUCAGGGGUGAAAUCCCGGGGCUCAACCCCGGAACUGCCUUUGAUACUGGUAGUCUUGAGUUCGAGAGAGGUGAGUGGAAUUCCGAGUGUAGAGGUGAAAUUCGUAGAUAUUCGGAGGAACACCAGUGGCGAAGGCGGCUCACUGGCUCGAUACUGACGCUGAGGUGCGAAAGCGUGGGGAGCAAACAGGAUUAGAUACCCCAGUAGUCCCAUGAU